AUAUUUUUUCAAUAAUUUCCUCAAUAAUUUCCUUCAUUUUUUUCCUAUAACUUAUAUUUCACAAAAUUUGUUUCAUAUUUUUUUUAAAUUCCAUUUUUUUCCUAUAACUUCUAUUUCACAAAAUUUGUUUCAUAUUUUUUUUAAAUUCCAUUUUUUUCUAUAACUUCUAUUUCACAAAAUUUGUUUCAUAUUUUUUUUAAAUUCUUUUUUUUUCCUAUAACUUCCUAAGCCAUUAUACAACAUUAAAUUAAAUUAAGUAACAUGAAACAACAUUGAACAAUAUGAAACAACAUUAAAUAACAUUAACCAACAUAAAAAUUAGACAACAUGAAUUCAAAGUUGUGUGAAUUAUAUCCCAAUAUCCACCCUAUUUAUAGCAAAAAAAAAUUCAAAUUCAACGGCUAGCUGAAGUCAGCAUGAUGUCAGCUACCAACGGCUAGCUAACGUCACUUAGCCGUUGGAUUUGAAUUUAAGUUGUAGUUUUUAAAUAAUAAAUUAUGUUUGGCCCUCGAUUGGAGACGGUUUUUUGUGAAAGGGCUAAAACGAGCCCUUUGGCCCUUUGGCCCUUGGUUGGAGACAGAGGCAAAUAUGGUCAUGUACUGUUCAUUAAAAUAUUAAUAUCUUGGAGAAUCUUAGAGGGCCAGAUGGCUAAAACGAGUCAUCUGGCCAGCCAUCGGUUAGAGAGAGUCCUCAAGAGUGGUGGUAGAGACCCUAAAUUAGGGUCUACCAUUGGAGAUACUCUUAAGGAUUGGGGGUUGAAAGAAUUAGAAUAUCUAAUUUAAAAUCAACUGGCAAUGCUCAAAAUGUUAUAAAAAAAAGUUUAUUUUUAUGCAUUACUAUGUUUUCGACGUGAUAUCCUCUCACUACAUGUAAUUUUUUGAUAAUAUGUUUACUUACAAUAAACGAGAAUUGAAAUCCUAUUGAAUCAUUUGUGUUUACUUAAAUGAUGAGUGCUAGAGAAAGUGUGAGUUUCUCCGUAAAAUCCCCAAUCCAAUACUUGAAUAUCAUGAACCAAAUCAACUAGGGCGUACAGUUGAUUUGAUUCAUUUUCCUUGAUGUCCUACCGCAUGUUAUCGGAUUCCUUACUUCUCCAAUUCCUUUAUAUAUUAAGUAAACAAUCCUUAACAUUAAGUCAUCUCAUCAUUCAACUUAUUGACAUAUCUCAAAGUAAAUCCAUAUUCACAUGUAACAGGUAUAAUCGUUUAACCAUUGCAUGUCUCUUCUAUAGUAUUCGUCAAGUGAGUAACACAAGAUCUACUGUGAGAGGAUUAGUGCAUGCACUCGUUACGUGUAAGUUUUUCUGUUGUAUCGUAUGUACAAUGUGAUAGUAAUCUCAUUCUCAAACAUGCUUUGUUUCAAGCCAAGUAACUCCAAUCAUCUUACCAAAUAAUUAUGUCUUCAGAUUUUUGCACUGCUGAAACGACUUCAGAAAUUACAGCAUGCAUGUGUGAGUGAUAAAAGAAAAUUCGCAGCAACUGAUCUCCAUAUAUUUGCUUGUCAUGGGCCAUGGCUGGUGUGUCACAUCCAGAACAAAACUACAAAGUAGGUAUAAUAUUAUUCUAAAUUUCAUUUAUGUAUGCAAAACCAACAGCUUUUGAAUAUUUCGUGGAACAAUUCGAUCUGCUUUUGUUUGUCUCUUUAUAUAUCCAGCAGGGCGCCAUGACAGCCAAACCUUCGAUCUAUAGAACCCUAGAAGGAGGAUAGGCCAAGAAAUUCUGGCCAAGCUCAAAACUGAGGCCCCACCUUAUUUUCUGCAAAAUUCUUUUGAUUAAAUUAUGAUUAUUUGCUUCUAAUAAGAUAGAUAAUGUUGGAUUUUGGGAUUCUCUUGAUGAUAUAUUUCAACUUUCAAGAGUAAUGCUUAAGAUAUGUAUAUUUCAAAGAGUAAUGUUGAAGAAACUUUUUUUUUUUUUGUUAAUACUACGAUAUAUUUGUAUUAAGAGGCGAAUAGGCUAUAUGUA
This 1958-nucleotide long non-coding RNA is filed under the name Malus domestica (apple). Its description in RNAcentral is "long non-coding RNA (MDOM_LNC018965)". The record is from RNAcentral. Lineage: Eukaryota; Viridiplantae; Streptophyta; Magnoliopsida; Rosales; Rosaceae.